AUCCUUCAGGCAAAGGUUCCAACCUUCCAACGUGUUCCUGCAAGCAAACGUCUGAACGAGGAAGCCACUAUAGAAGGAUCUUUGGCAGUGUCAGUGGAAUUCAACUGCCAAAUGAGGACACCACGGAGCAGUUACGAGCCACGUCUAGCACUUUGCCUGAGGACCUUAUGUACUGAGACUUUGAUGCGCCUACUCUGGACGAUCUUCCAACCAGGCAAAGCUAAAGACCACACACGUACAUACAAAUCUGUCAUCGAUGUUUAGAGAGUUACGUGAAAGUUUCUAUUUUGUGACUCACUUGGGAAAUGUGGAACAACCUCUUUGUGAUAUGUUAUGUCUGGAGUCAGAAAGGAUAUAAAGGGAGUCUGGGGUCCUCUCGUCUGCCAUCAUUGUGGACUAGUGUCUCUGCAAUUGUGUGUUUGCUGGGGUGUUAGUGGUGUGCUGUGUGUGCUGUGCUCAAGUAAGUUUGUGAAAGUUUGUAAUGCUGAGUUAAACUGGUCUCUUCAGAGCCUUGAGUUGACAAAGUUCAUGAUGAAUUGCCAUGAGUUAAGGUAACCCAAAUGACUCUAGAAUCAUUUUUUUAUGAAGAAUCUUUUGAGACUACUUUCCUGUGGAACACAUUUUGAGAAAUCCUGGUAAAAAUGGUUAAGCGUUAGACUCAGGAUAGAUCCAAGCUCCACCACUUAGGUGCUGAGUGACUUUGGAAAGUUAUUUAAACUCUGUGUCUCCUCUGUUCCUUCAUCAGUAAAAUUAACAUAAUAAUGACAUCUACCUCACACGGUUUUGUAAGUAUAUUUGCUGUUAUCAUUCAGUAAAUGUAAACUGUUAUCUUCAUAAAAGAACACUUUGAUUUUGAA
Molecule: non-coding RNA, 857 nt
Organism: Equus caballus (horse)
Lineage: Eukaryota; Metazoa; Chordata; Mammalia; Perissodactyla; Equidae
Source: RefSeq, a predicted model, not a curated record